Cryptotermes secundus is the source of this 951-nucleotide long non-coding RNA. RefSeq lists it as uncharacterized. The transcript has 4 exons. The record is from RefSeq and is a predicted model, not a curated record. Lineage: Eukaryota; Metazoa; Arthropoda; Insecta; Blattodea; Kalotermitidae.
AGGGACCAACAAGCUGAUCAAGCUCGCUCAAGCUGAACGAGUUGAACCAGGUAGAACGUCCUGAACGGUCGUGAAGUCGUGAAAGCGGGGAAGUGAUAGCGCGCAUGGUACAAACGGUACAAACGUCCAUAUGCGAGUUUUGUUGAUGUGUGAAGACGUGAGCAGAGUGUGGAUAUGUCAAAUAGUGAAUAGUUCUGAAUAGCUCUAACCCACCCUACAUUGUGUAUAGAGCAACCGAAGCAACCUCUGGUGAAUGGCGCGGCAUCCUAGUCCUUUGAAAAUGAGUGAAUCCACAGUUUGAGCCGUUUGAGCCACACUGAAGGAAAUUUCUCUACAGUUAAGACGCCAUUGGUACAGAUCUAUUCUUUCAAAUUUCAGGUCACUCCAACAAUGUGGGAAAAUUAUAUUGACAGAAGUACAAAGCAGAAACUUCUAUAUAGAAUAUGAAAGCUGUAGCUAUUGCUCCUAGUUUUGAACAUUCCUCCAAGUCAGAAAAUGAUUCAGAUGACUGGACCCCCACCACCAUGAGGGAUACAGAAUGUUUUAUGGAGGUUCAGAUGAGACACAUCAGAACCGUAGUCACCUGGGCGACACAAGCCAACUUGUGCAUUCAUAUUCGCUCCAUCAAGGUGGUGGAGGAUGCAUUUUCAAUGCAUUUCAUUACUCAUGGCUGAUGUGACAUUGUCUGCAUAAUUAUGAAUGUGGGAGAGGUGGGAUGAUUUUAUGCUUUACAAACUAUAGCAGCAUUUCAACUCAUAGAAAUACUUGUUGAUUAUGUCUCCUCAACAUGAUGAAAUCUAUUCAGAUAUUUCAAAAUAAAUGCUCUAAAAGGGUAGUAAAAUUUUACUCCAGACAUAACACUUCCAUUGCUGUAAAGGUGAAAUAUAUUGUAAUUAAUGAUUUCCAUCCUGUAGUUUUUCACGGCCAUUAAAAGGAGGUAAUGCCCUUGAA